RNAcentral lists this ribosomal RNA (300 nucleotides) under Triticum aestivum (bread wheat). RNAcentral's name for it is "partial small subunit ribosomal RNA". The record is from RNAcentral. Lineage: Eukaryota; Viridiplantae; Streptophyta; Magnoliopsida; Poales; Poaceae.
AUGAAGUCAUAUCUUAUUUGGCUCUUGAAAGAACAUGAUGUCCCAAGAUAUCGAACACAAAAUGCAUGGAGCAAAGAGGCUUGGAGAAGUAUUGUGAAAGCAUUCAAUAUAAAGUUUGGUUUAUCACUCACAGUAACUCAGAUCAAACAAAAGGAGCAGGAUCUGAAGAAAGAUUUUAAAGCUAUACAAGACUUGAUAUCUGAAAGUGGUUUUGGUUGGGAUCGUGAUAGAAUGAUGGUGGUUGCUCCGGACAGUGUUUGGGAAGCAUUAAAGGCCCGUAAGAAGAAAGAUGCCCUCUGA